GGGUUGUGAGGUUAAGCGACUAAGCGUACACGGUGGAUGCCCUGGCAGUCAGAGGCGAUGAAGGGCGUGCUAAUCUGCGAUAAGCGCCGGUAAGGUGAUAUGAACCGUUAUAACCGGCGAUACCCGAAUGGGGAAACCCAGUGUGAUUCGUCACACUAUCAUUAACUGAAUCCAUAGGUUAAUGAGGCGAACCGGGGGAACUGAAACAUCUAAGUACCCCGAGGAAAAGAAAUCAACCGAGAUUCCCCCAGUAGCGGCGAGCGAACGGGGAGGAGCCCAGAGCCUGAAUCAGCAUGUGUGUUAGUGGAAGCGUCUGGAAAGGCGCGCGAUACAGGGUGACAGCCCCGUACACAAAAGCGCAUGUGCUGUGAGCUCGAUGAGUAGGGCGGGACACGUGGUAUCCUGUCUGAAUAUGGGGGGGACCGAUUCCUCCCAAGGCUAAAAUACUCCUGACUGACCGAUAGUGAACCAGUACCGUGAAGGGAAAGGCGAAAAAGAACCCCGGCGACGGGGAGUUGAAAAAGAAACCUGGAAACCGUGUACGUACAAGCCAGUGGGGAGCCACUAGGUUUUACCUGUGUGACUGCGUACCUUUUGUUAUAAUUGGGUCAGCCGACUUAUAUUCUGUAGCAAGGUUAAACCGAAUACGGGGAGCCGGAGGGAAAACCGAGUCUUUAACCGGGUCGUUAAGUUGCAGGGUAUAAGACCCGAAACCCGGUGAUCGUAGCCAUGGGCAGGUUGGAAGGUUGGGUAACACUAAACGUGGAGGACCCGAACCGACUAAUGUUAGAAAAAUUUAGUCGGAUGACCUGUGGCUUGGGGGUGAAAAGGCCAAAUCAAACCCGGGAGAUAGCUGGUUCUCCCCGAAAGCUAUUUAGGUAGCGCCUACGUGAAUUCAGUCUCCGGGGGUUAGGAGCUACUGUUUCGGCUUAGGGGGCCCAUCCCGGGCUUACCAACCCCGAUGCAAAACUGCGAAUACCGGAGAAAUGUUAUCACGGGGAGACACGACGGCGGGUGCUAACGUCCGUACGUAGAAGACGGGAAACAAACCCGAGACCGCCAGCUAAGGUCCCAAAGUCAUGGUUAAGUGGGAAACGAUGUCGGGAAGGCCCCAGACAGCCAGGAUGUUGGCUUAGAAGCAGCCAUCAUUUAAAGGAAAGACGUAAAUAGCUCAACUGGUCGAGUCGGCCUGACGCGGAAAGAUGUAAACGGGGGCUAAAACCGAUGCACCGAAGCUGCGGCAGCGAACGUAUCACGUUUAAAGCGAUUCAGCGGGUUUACGAGUUGACGGAGCGAAGCGACGUCAAAGCGUAGUACAAAGUCGAGUACGGUUUUAAGGAGUACGGUUCGUUGGGUAGGGGGAGCGGUUCUGUAAGCCUGCGAAGGUGGCCUGUGGAGGGGUUGCUGGAGGUAUCAGAAGUGCGAAUGCUGACAUAAGUAACGAUAAAAGCGGUGUAGAAAAGACCCGCUCGCCGGAAGACCAAGGGUUACCUGUCCAACGGUUAAGUCGGGGCAAGGGUGAGUCCGACCCCUAAGGCGAGGACCGAAAGGCGUAGUCGAGUAGGGAAACGGGUUAAUAUUUCCCGUACUUGGUGUUACUGCCGAAGGAGGGGUACGGGAGAAGGCUAUGGUUGGCCGGGCGUACGGUUGUCCCGGUUUUAAAGCGUGUAGGUGUGUGUUCCAGGGUAAAUCCGGGUUCGACGUUUAACACUGGAGGCGUGAUGACGAGGCACGUACGGUGCUGAAGUAACAAAUAGCCCUGCUUCCAGGAAAAAGACCUCUAAAGCAUCAGGUAACAUCAAAAUCGUACCCCCAAACCCGACACAGGUGGUCAGGUAGAGAAUACCAAGGCGGCUUGAAGAGAAACUCGGGUGAAGGAACUAGGCAAAAAUAGGUGCCGUAACUUCGGGAGGAAGGCACGCAGUGGACACGUAGGUUGAAGUGAUUUACGUCACGGAGCUGAAGUCAGUCGAAGAUACCAGCUGGCUAGCAACUGGUUUUAUUAAAAAACACAGCACUGUGCCAAACACGAAAAGUGGACGUAUACGGUGUGAACGCCUGCCCGGUGACCGGAAGGUUAAAUUGAUUGGGGUCGAGCGCAAGCGAAGCUACCUGAUCGAAAGCCCCGGUUAAACGGCGGCCGUAACUAUAACGGGUCCUAAGGUAGCGAAAAUUCCCUUGUCGGGGUAAGUUCCGACCUGCACGAAUGGCGGUAAUGAUGGCCAGGCUGUCUCCAACCCGAGACUCAGUGAAAAUUGAAACUCGCUGUGAAAGAUUGCAGUGUACCCCGCGGCAAAGACGGAAAAGACCCCCGUGGAACCGUUUUACUAUAGCUUUGACACUGAACAAUUGAGCCUUUGAUGUGUAGGAUAGGGUGGGAAGGCCUUUGAAGUGUGGACGCCCAGUCUGCAUGGAGCCGACCUUAGAAAUACCUACCCGUUUAAUGUUUUGAUGUUCUAACGUCGGACCCGUUACCCGGGUUGCCGGACGAGUGUCCUGGUCGGGUAGGUUUGACUGGGGGCGGUCGUCCCUCCUAAAGAGUAAACGGAGGAGCGACGAAGGUGUUGGCUAAGUCCUGGUCGGGACGAUCAGGAGGUUUAGUGGCAAUGGUCAAUAAGCCAAGCUUGACUGCGAGCGUGUACGGGCGCGAGGCAGGUGACGAAAGCAGGUCAGUAGUGAUACCCGGUGGUUCUGAAAUGGAAGGGCCCAUCGGCUCAACGGAUUAAAACGGUAACUACCGGGGAUAACAGGACUGAUACCGCCCAAGAGUUCCAUAGUCGACGGUCGGUAGUUUGGCACCUCGAUGUCGGCUCAUCACAUCCUGGGGCUGAAGCAGGUCCCAAGGGUAUGGCUGUUCGCCAUUUAAAGUGGUACGCGAGCUGGGUUUAGAACGUCGUGAGACAGUUCGGUCCCUAUCUGCCGUGGGCGCUGGAGAACUGAGGGGGGCUGCUCCUAGUACGAGAGGACCGGAGUGGACGCAUCACUGGUGUUCGGGUUGUCAUGCCAAUGGCACUGCCCGGUAGCUAAAUGCGGAAGAGAUAAGUGCUGAAAGCAUCUAAGCACGAAACUUGCCCCGAGAUGAGUUCUCCCUGAGACUUAGAGUCUCCUGAAGGAACGUUGAAGACGACGACGUUGAUAGGCCGGGUGUGUAAGCGCAGCGAUGCGUUGAGCUAACCGGUACUAAUGAACCGUGAGGCUUAACCUUACAACGCCGAAG
This 3217-nucleotide ribosomal RNA is filed under the name Salmonella enterica subsp. enterica serovar Pullorum. Its description in RNAcentral is "bacterial LSU rRNA". It matches the Rfam family "Bacterial large subunit ribosomal RNA". Lineage: Bacteria; Pseudomonadati; Pseudomonadota; Gammaproteobacteria; Enterobacterales; Enterobacteriaceae. The record is from RNAcentral.